Molecule: microRNA precursor, 126 nt
Filed under: Cavia aperea (Brazilian guinea pig)
Lineage: Eukaryota; Metazoa; Chordata; Mammalia; Rodentia; Caviidae
Description: miRNA (ENSCAPG00000004003.1)
Source: RNAcentral
GGUCUCGCUGUGCAGUUCAGGCUGGCCUGGAGCUCACUUUGUAGCCCAGGCUGGUCUUGAACUCACAUGAUCCUCCUGCCUCAGCCUCCCGAGUGCCGGGAUGACAGGCGUGCGCCACCACGCCCG